This 486-nucleotide ribosomal RNA is filed under the name uncultured bacterium. Its description in RNAcentral is "bacterial SSU rRNA". It matches the Rfam family "Bacterial small subunit ribosomal RNA", at positions 29 to 526 of the family's 1533-position model. The record is from RNAcentral.
AACGAACGUUGGUGGGAUGUCUUAAACAUGCAAGUCGAGCGGCAGCAUUUCGGAUGGCGAGCGGCGAACUGGUGAGUAACGCGUAAGAAUCUACCUUGCAGACUGGGAUAGCCCUGGGAAACCAGGAUUAAUACCGGAUAAGAGCAUGCUUGAAAGCGGCGUUUGCCGCACUGCGAGAUGAGCUUGCGUCCCAUUAGCUUGAUGGUAGGGUAAUGGCCUACCAUGGCGACGAUGGGUAGCCGGCCUGAGAGGGUGAUCGGCCACAUCGGGACUGAGAUACGGCCCGGACUCCUACGGGAGGCAGCAGUUAAGAAUAUUCCGCAAUGGACGAAAGUCUGACGGAGCAAUCCCACGUGGGGGAUGAAGGCCUUCGGGUUGUAAACCUCUUUUAGGAAGGAAGAAUAAGGCGUAUAGGAAAUGAUGCGCUGAUGACGGUACUUCCAGAAAAAGCACCGACUAACUACGUGCCAGCCGCCGCAGUAAAAC